AAACGUAGGAGACGAGCGUUAUCCGGAUUUACUGGGCGUAAAGCGCGUGCAGGCGGCAUGGCUAGUUGGAUGUGAAAGCUCCCGGCUUAACUGGGAGAGGUCGUUCAAUACUGCCAGGCUUGAGAGUGGUAGAGGGAAGCGGAAUUCCGGGUGUAGUGGUGAAAUGCGUAGAUAUCCGGAGGAACACCAGUGGCGAAAGCGGCUCCUGCCAUUUCUGACGCUAAGACGCGAAAGCUAGGGUAGC
This 244-nucleotide ribosomal RNA is filed under the name uncultured bacterium. RNAcentral's name for it is "partial 16S ribosomal RNA". It matches the Rfam family "Bacterial small subunit ribosomal RNA", at positions 523 to 769 of the family's 1533-position model. The record is from RNAcentral.